This is a long non-coding RNA of Mauremys reevesii (Reeves's turtle), 606 nucleotides long. RefSeq lists it as uncharacterized. The record is from RefSeq and is a predicted model, not a curated record. The transcript has 2 exons. NCBI's taxonomy places the organism in Eukaryota, Metazoa, Chordata, Testudines, Geoemydidae.
CUCGGGGACCACUGGAAUCCAAGUAGUAAAGCAGUUACACAAGGGCUGUCUGAAGUAGGACUAUCACCUCUUUUCACGGUGACGUGAUGUCUCUGCAUACACCGUCCAAAGUUACACAGCGGAUAAAGUUCAUGAGAGUUUUUCAGUUCUCAUUACUAUGGCUACGUUUUAGUCACAGAUUUCCAGUCAGCGUAUUUACCGAGAGGCCCAGCGAAUAUCUGAGAAUAUUUGGGGAAAGCAAAUGCUGAAUUUCUAAUCACGAGUAUUCACACAGGAAACCUAAUUCGAGAGUUUUGUUCUUCCAGAACCAAGCAUGGCCCCAAGCCUUCCAUGGGGUCCAUCAAUACGGGGGGUUUGCCAUUGCAGGGUCAGGCCCCUCCUGAGCAGUAGGGCCCAUCAGAACAGCUCCAGCUUCACCUAUUGAAUGCUCACCGCUGCAAAGGGGUGAUGGAGAGAUCUGGGUGAACAAUGGACUUUGGGGGUCUUUCUGAAAAAUGUAAAACAAUUUUCAUGUUGAGCCUUUUAGUAAUGUUAUUUUUUAAACAAAAUUAAAGGAAAUUUCAAAACUAAGGCAUUUCAAACAAAAUAAAACUAAAGAUUUAAUCA